Molecule: non-coding RNA, 197 nt
Organism: Oryza nivara
Lineage: Eukaryota; Viridiplantae; Streptophyta; Magnoliopsida; Poales; Poaceae
Source: Rfam
AAUAAGUGCAGUUUUGCACUAUUCAUCUUCAACGUUUGACCGUUCAUCUUAUUUGAAAAAUUUUUAUGAUUAUUAUUUUUAUUGUUAUUAUAUGAUAAAAUAUGAAUAGUACUUUAUGUGUGACUAAUUUUUUUAAAAUUUUUCAAAUAAGACGGACGGUCAAACGUUGGACAUGGCUUUCGACGACUACACUUAUU